UACGUAGGGCGCAAGCGUUGUCCGGAAUUAUUGGGCGUAAAGAGCUCGUAGGCGGCCUGUUGCGUCCGCUGUGAAAUCCCGGGGCUUAACCCCGGGCGUGCAGUGGAUACGGGCAGGCUGGAGGCAGGCAGGGGAGAACGGAAUUCCCGGUGUAGCGGUGAAAUGCGCAGAUAUCAGGAGGAACACCGAUGGCGAAGGCAGGUCUCUGGGCAUUAACUGACGCUGAGGAGCGAAAGCGUGGGGAGCGAACAGG
RNAcentral lists this ribosomal RNA (253 nucleotides) under uncultured bacterium. RNAcentral describes it as "partial 16S ribosomal RNA". It matches the Rfam family "Bacterial small subunit ribosomal RNA", at positions 524 to 776 of the family's 1533-position model. The record is from RNAcentral.